Molecule: ribosomal RNA, 465 nt
Filed under: uncultured bacterium
Lineage: Bacteria
Description: bacterial SSU rRNA
Rfam family: Bacterial small subunit ribosomal RNA
Source: RNAcentral
CCCAGACUCCUACGGGAGGCAGCAGUGAGGAAUAUUGGUCAAUGGGCGAGAGCCUGAACCAGCCAAGUCGCGUGAGGGAAGACGGUCCUAUGGAUUGUAAACCUCUUUUGCCGGGGAGCAAAAAGCGGUACGUGUACCGCAUCGAGAGUACCCGGAGAAAAAGCAUCGGCUAACUCCGUGCCAGCAGCCGCGGUAAUACGGAAGGUCCGGGCGUUAUCCGGAUUUAUUGGGUUUAAAGGGAGCGUAGGCCGGUCUUUAAGCGUGCCGUGAAAUUUUGUGGCUCAACCAUGAGAGUGCGGCGCGAACUGGAGACCUUGAGUGCGCGGAAGGCAGGCGGAAUUCGUGGUGUAGCGGUGAAAUGCUUAGAUAUCACGCAGAACUCCGAUUGCGAAGGCAGCGUACCGGCGCCCAACUGACGCUCAUGCACGAAAGCGUGGGUAUCGAACAGGAUUAGAUACCCCAGUA